Molecule: ribosomal RNA, 384 nt
Filed under: uncultured bacterium
Lineage: Bacteria
Description: bacterial SSU rRNA
Rfam family: Bacterial small subunit ribosomal RNA
Source: RNAcentral
AGCGAACGUUUGCGGCGGGCCUAACACAUGCAAGUCGAACGCACUAGCAAUAGUGAGUGGCGCACGGGUGCGUAACACGUGGGUAAUCAACCCUUCAGCUUGGGAUAACGACUUGAAAGGGUCGCUAAUACCGGAUACGGCGCGAGAGGCUUCGGCUUCUCACGAGAAAGCCUCGCAAGGGGCACUGAAGGACGAGCCUGCGGCCCAUCAGCUAGUUGGUGAGGUAAGAGCUCACCAAGGCUAAGACGGGUAGCUGGUCUGAGAGGAUGAUCAGCCACACUGGAACUGAGACACGGUCCAGACUCCUACGGGAGGCAGCAGUGGGGAAUAUUGCGCAAUGGGCGAAAGCCUGACGCAGCCACGCCGCGUGAGCGAUGAAGGCCU